GAAGUUAGACUUGUUAUUGUUGGUUCAACUUUUUUUAAAAGGUGUAUUCCAAUGGUUAACAGACCAGCAUCAAUUUUUGGGUGUUAGAUAAGGGUCUUGAGAAUGUAGCAAUUUUGGUUGUGUUAUAKCUCAUGACUUUGAUAUAAUGCUUAGGAUUGAAGAACGCAGUGAGCUUUUCAUUAAGUGGAUGCCUUUGGGGAUCUUCUCACUAUGGAUGUUGGUGUAAUAUCUUUAAAUGACACA
Molecule: ribosomal RNA, 243 nt
Filed under: Cronartium ribicola
Lineage: Eukaryota; Fungi; Basidiomycota; Pucciniomycetes; Pucciniales; Coleosporiaceae
Description: partial large subunit ribosomal RNA
Source: RNAcentral